AAUGCGAUAAUAAUGUGAAUUGCAGAAUUCAGUGAAUCAUCGAGUCUUUGAACGCACAUUGCGCCCCCUGGUAUUCCGGGGGGCAUGCCUGUCCGAGCGUCAUUGCUGCCCUCAAGCACGGCUUGUGUGUUGGGCUUCCGUCCCUGGCAACGGGGACGGGCCCAAAAGGCAGUGGCGGCACCAUGUCUGGUCCUCGAGCGUAUGGGGCUUUGUCACCCGCUCCCGUAGGUCCAGCUGGCAGCUAGCCUCGCAACCAAUCUUUUUAACCAGGUUGACCUCGGAUCAGGUAGGGAUACCCGCUGAACUUAAGC
This 311-nucleotide unclassified non-coding RNA is filed under the name plant metagenome. Its description in RNAcentral is "partial contains 5.8S ribosomal RNA, internal transcribed spacer 2, and large subunit ribosomal RNA". The stretch from base 1 to 102 matches the Rfam family "5.8S ribosomal RNA", at positions 52 to 154 of the family's 154-position model. The record is from RNAcentral.